GCGGGUGUAGCUCAGUGGUAGAGCUCUUGCUUCCCAAGCAAGUUGUCGUGGGUUCGAUCCCCAUCACCCGCUCCA
RNAcentral lists this transfer RNA (75 nucleotides) under Chloroflexota bacterium. RNAcentral's name for it is "tRNA-Gly". It matches the Rfam family "tRNA". From Rfam's summary of the family: Transfer RNA (tRNA) molecules are approximately 80 nucleotides in length. Their secondary structure includes four short double-helical elements and three loops (D, anti-codon, and T loops). Further hydrogen bonds mediate the characteristic L-shaped molecular structure. tRNAs have two regions of fundamental functional importance: the anti-codon, which is responsible for specific mRNA codon recognition, and the 3' end, to which the tRNAs corresponding amino acid is attached (by aminoacyl-tRNA synthetases). tRNAs cope with the degeneracy of the genetic code in two manners: having more than one tRNA (with a specific anti-codon) for a particular amino acid; and 'wobble' base-pairing, i.e. permitting non-standard base-pairing at the 3rd anti-codon position. Lineage: Bacteria; Bacillati; Chloroflexota. The record is from RNAcentral. RNAcentral also lists the same sequence under 2 other names.